This 1059-nucleotide long non-coding RNA is filed under the name Theobroma cacao (cacao). RNAcentral's name for it is "long non-coding RNA (TCAC_LNC002251)". The record is from RNAcentral. Lineage: Eukaryota; Viridiplantae; Streptophyta; Magnoliopsida; Malvales; Malvaceae.
ACGGGGGCUUUUUUAGACUCCUCCCCCUCUUCCCCCCCUCUUCCCUCCUCUCUCACCAGCUAGCCGUCACCUCGUUGUCUUCUCUCCCUCCUCUCUCCUCUCUCCUCUCUCUCUCUCUCCACACGUGCCACUCUACCCUAUCCCUUAAUCACUAGUUUUCCAACUUCUCAUCAAAAGAGAAUUUGGCAAGUCAUGUAUCAUCUAAUCUUACUCGUUUUCUUGGAAAUUGUAUCCAUGAUAUAUAGUUUGCAAGUGAGGGAGUAUACUUUGACAUGCUUUUGAUCUUUCCAUGGCUAUAUAUACCUAUUGACUUGAAGCUAAUAUCAAUGAUGCCUUUGACUGAUCAUGUUCAAUAUCCCAUGCAUAUCUAUCAAGCUAUGUAUAUAUAUAUAUAUAUUGCCAUGCAACAAGUUUGAGAGAAAAUCAACUCCUCAGAAACCUAUUUUUUUCUCUAAAUCCAUUGCCAAUUGCAUACAUAUCAGAUGAAAUCAAGUUUCCGCAAGGAUUUGGAGGAAUACCCUUUUCCCUUUGGUACAGCUCUAUGCAUGGGAAGAUAUAGAAAAGCUAAGUAAAUGGAUCACGAACUCUGCAGGGGCCCGGGGGAGGAAGCAAGACUGUUUUUUUCUGAUCAAAAUCGCUGGGGGCAAGCUCUUUUCUCCGAUGAACGUGUCACGAGAUGUUUGUAUCUGAGUCUUUUGAUCAUAUGCAAGCUAGUUUGGAGUUGGAUCCUUGCUUCCAGCAUUGUCUCCAUUCCACGCGGACAAAUCAUGUACCCACCUAUUCACAUGUGUGCCCUUUAAUCAUUACAACAAAACAACACUCUCCAUACAAAUACCUGCGCCUAACUUGUCUCUUGCCUUCCAUGAAAUGCUGCUCUUUCCUACACUUUGUUUUCCCUUUUUUCUUUUUUUCUUUUUUUUUGUUAUUAAACUUUCCAUUGAUUUUGAAUUUGAUCCCAUCCCUUCCCAUUCAAUCACAGUAUACUACUAUCUAGAUUUUACUAUAGGGUCUCUGUAGAUUCGAUUUCCUUUCUGAAUAUGAAAAAGUUGUGGGAUUAAA